RNAcentral lists this long non-coding RNA (22439 nucleotides) under Cucumis sativus (cucumber). RNAcentral's name for it is "long non-coding RNA (CSAT_LNC000586)". The record is from RNAcentral. Lineage: Eukaryota; Viridiplantae; Streptophyta; Magnoliopsida; Cucurbitales; Cucurbitaceae.
UUUUUUUUUUUUUUUUUUGUUAUACGGGCCCUAAAUAUUUUUACAUUUUGUUCUAGAGAAAACUGUGAAAAUGACAAAAUAAUUGAUAACAAAUUAGAAAAUAACAAAAAAAAAUUUUUUAAAAUGAUUUAUAGCAAAACCGUAUGAUAUAGUCCUUUUUUUUAGCCGAUUUUACCCGUAUGGAAAAAAAAUUCUUUUAUCGCAGAUACAGUGUAUUUCUAUAGAUAAAAAUGAUAUAUCAUAAUCCAGAAUCAUAGAUACAAUGUAUUUGAAAACAAUUAAUUUUAUAAAAAUAUUAAAUAAAUAUUUAUUUUCAAGAUGAAUCUAAUUGAUUCAACCUUCCCUAAAUUUAUGUCUGCAAUUCAUACCAGAUAUUCGAAUUUGUAGGCUUCAAAUAAACUAAUUAACAAUUUAUUUAUAUAAUUCAUAAUAUAUAUACUAGUAGCUAUUUAAUUCUUUUUUUUUAAUGUCAAUGAAAUGAUUGAUAAUAUAAUUUCUUCAUCAUACGUUUCAUAUGGUUUGGUUAAUAUUUAGUAGCAUUAUAUUAUAUCAUACAUAAUACACAUUUUAUAUAUAUAAUUCAUUGUUUAUAAAUAUUUAUUUAUUAUUCAAAUUGAAUGUUUAGUCGAAAGAUAUCCAAAAUUUGAAUUUAGAAUGGUAUCUUCCCCUAAAAUCAUGCAUUUGAUAUAACAACUUCAUAUUAAAUUUGUUAUUUCUCCUAUAGUUAUGCAUUUAACGAUGAUUUUCAUAAAAUUGUUCAUUUAACAUAAUAAUAAAUUGAAAUUAAAACUUCCAUAAAAUGGUUCAUUUAACAAUCAUUCCAUAAAAUGAUUUUAUUUCUCCUUAUAAUUAUGAUGCAUUUAACGUCCAGAUGAUUAUUUUAAGAAAUUUUUCAUCAUCCAUAAACAUCGUUAUGCAAGAAAUGCAUCGUAUUUGAAUAGUGAACUCAAAUCUCAAGAUUCACAUCAUAAAACGGACGUAUAAGAUUUGUUGAAAUUUAACACAGUUAAAUACAAUCCUCAUUAUAUGAAUAAGUUGGAAUGUGCAACUAACUACGAUAUAAAUAUAAUUAUACAUAUACAAUGUAUUUUAAUUGAUUUACAAGAAUAUCGGGCACACUGUGACGCUCCAAAAUUUAGGUGUUUUUCUUAACAUAAUUAUCAUAUUAAUAAGGGUAAAGAUUCACAUGAAGUUAAAAAAAAAUGAGACAAAAUAUCAACUUUGUUAAAUCUUAACUAAAUAUGCUAUUUUCAUGUUGGAAAGAUUGCACCAACAUCUUCUAAAAAUAUGGCUAUAAUUUCUUCUAGAUUUUUGGAUUAUUGCCAGUGAAAUCAAUCAAUUAGCAAUUUCUUUGUAUAAUUCAUAAUUGAUAUUUUUAAUAACGAUUUGAACUCAAAUUUUAGAUCAUAAUCUAAAAUAAUGACAAAGAUAAAUUCAACCGUUUCACAGUCUUUAUAUUUCAAACCAUUUAUGAAAAUUUUAUUAAAUAAUACAUAAUAUCAAAUAUUUAUUAAUACAUAGUUUUGUGAUAGAAUUUCGUAUUAUCUAAUUUAAUAUGAUUAUAUGGAGUAAUGAUAUAGUAAAGAAAGCUAAAUUGAGAUAAAGAGAGACUUGAUUUUAUGAUGAAAUCUAGGGUUAAUAUCUAAUAUUUUUUACUCGAUUUCUAUGGAUUUACAAGUUUCUGCAAUAAUAAAAUUAGAAGGAAGCAAAAAUGAAGAAGAUGGAUUUUCGAUGGAGAGAACUUAGAAGAAUGAGAAUAAUUAAGCUGGUGGUGUAUUAGUAGCGGUAGCGAAGAAAGGGGGCAUGUGAUUUCCAGCGAUGAUGACAAUGAUGGCGAUUUGUUGCGGAAGGUAUAUGAUAUUCAUGAUUUUCGGAUGUUCUUCGUAGAGAAAAGAGGAAGAGAAAGUAGGGCGUUUCUGGUAGGGAACAAGAAAAUAAAAUCAAUGAGGUGAGGAUGAGAAGUAGAGUUAAGCCAAAGAGAUAAGGUAUCAAAGUAUGACCAUCAAGUCGUCCCUAACUCAGUUCGAUCUCGUAGCUUCUCCGUUUUGUUCUCCACCAGAGCCCAUCCAUUUUGCACGCCCAGAUCUGAGCCGCUUUGCCUCCGUCCAAGCUAGACUUGAGCCAUCGAGCCACACUCAGUUCUUCUUUGCACACCGUCUUUUGGCUCGAUUUGUGCAUUGUCGUUUUCAGUGUUGUACAAAUGUGAUUCGGGAGAAAACUGGUAAAAGGAUGAACAUAUGGGUUUUCAAACUUUCUUUAAUUUUUGCAGCGUAAUGACAAAUUUUCUUAUCUUUAUGUUUUUUGGAAAAAAGAUUUAUGUAGCAUAUGUUAUGGUAAUUACAGUGUAUUUAAGAUUUAGGUAAACAAUUGUAUUUUUCAGAUUGGGUAGGGACAUUUAAGAGAUUAGUUUAUUUAUUUAUAUUUUAAAUUUUUAUGUUUUGCUAUUCUAACAAAUAAUUUGCUAUUAUAACAAAUAAUUUGCUAUUUUAAAUUUUUAUAUUUUAAAAUUAUUUUUGUUAUUUUUCUAAAGUAAAACUAAUAAUUUGCUAUUUUUCUUGACAACCCUUUGUUCUAUAUAUGCAAAUUAACCUUUAAUCAAUCUAUUUUUUAUAUUUAUAUUAGGGGUGUUAAAAAAAACCUAUAAUUUGACUAACCUGGAUUACUUAACCUAAAUCGUAAGGGUUAAGUGUUAAAUUUUGUGUUUGGUUGGGUUGAGUUAGAAAGUUAGAGAAAAAAAUGUUGAGUUGGCUAGUCGGAUCGUGCAAGUAAGGUGUUGAGAUGACCCCACCCAACCCAAUUAUGUAUAUUAUAUGUAUACAAAUAUAAACCUAAAACCCAAAAGUAAACCUCCUUCUGAAUGGACAUUUGUAAACUUGAAAUUUGAAUGUAUAAUAUCUAUAUGUCACAUUGUACCUUGAAUGACAAUUUGUUCAACUUGCAUAUUGAAAGUCAAUACGAAAUUUGUCUAAAUUAUAGAGAUAUGAAAAAAAAAAUUAACUCGCCAACCGAGCCCAGACAUUUUGGGUUGGAUUGACCCUUUGCAUAUUGAAUCGAUAAGGUUUAUUUUUUGCCAACUCGGGUACUUUUGGUUGGUCUAUAACUUUCCUCCAACCCGGUCCAACUCAGCUUAUGUACACCCCUAUUAAAUAUAAGUUGAAAAUUUAGUCAUGUAAUUCUAGUUUCUACCCAAAUUUCAUAAAAGAAAUGAAAAAUUAGGAAAAUUGCACAAACAACUAUGGUUAACACUUCAGAAAUUUUCAAAAUUGUCAAAUUGUAUCCUUGUACAUUUAAAUAGUUGCAAUCAGUCCGUUUUUUUUAUUUACCAUUAUUUGUUGGAUUACACAUUUAUCUCACACAUGCAAGAGGGGCAUAUUUGUAAAUUCAUCCUCCAAAGGGGUUUGGUUUAUUUGUUUUCUCUCUCUAACCCUUCUUAUGUAAUUUGUACUCCUCUCUCUAACCGUCGAUUGAGGAGUCUCCAAUUUCUCAAACUCCACAACAAUUUUCUCUAUUUUAAAAAUUAUAUGUUCCAACUAAGAGAAAAAAAAAAGCAUGAGUUAUAGAGAGGGGGAGAAGAGACGAUUUCCAUUUAGUUUUGGCAUUUUCAAGCGGGGUAGUUCUAUUGUAUGGUCACUCGCGGAUCUAGAUAUCUGGGGGCACCGGGCACUAUAUAAUAAACACAAUAAACAAAUGUAAAAAUAAUAUCUCGACGUUUUCCUAAUAAUCCAAUAACAUUCACUACAUUUGUACAAUAAAUAAGACCGACAAUUUUCACAUGAUUUUUUGUAAUGUAAAUAUGUGAAUUUAAAAAUUACAUAAAAAAAAAAAAAAGAGUAAUACCUUUCUCAUGGAUCAUUGACUUUGUUGCAUUUUUUUCUAAAUAUUUGGUAGAUAACAUAUGAGAGGUAGGAAAUAAGGUAGGGUUUUAUUUUAGAUAAUUUUUCCCUCUUUUUUAAAAAUUAUAUUCCUUUUAGAAAAUCAAAUUAUAUUCCUUUUAGGAAAACUAUUGAAAUUUAGGAAGAAAAAUCAAAUUAUCUUCAUUUAGGAAAAAAAAUUAUUUCAAUCGAACCCAGAAUCUUAUGAUUUUGCAGGUGCAAAGCCACUACACCAGAACUAAAAUUUAGUAAAACUAAAGUAUUAUUUAAUAUAUAUUGUAAUUUAACAUUUUUAAAUUAAUAUUAAAAUACAAAAAUCGAGAAUAUUAAAGGGGGCGUACUCCCCCUGGCUCCUUAAUAAAUCUGCCUAUGUGUAUGCUAAACAACUUCAUGAAUAAAAACCAUAUAAAACAAUUGUGUUGCUCUUGUUCAUAGUAAUUCAUUCUAUAAGUCUCGGUUACUUAUAGGGAGAGAAAGAAAGAGGAAAAAAUGAUUAAAAAGAGAGAAAAUAACAAAACACUCUCAAUGGUGGUUGGCAGCUUUAAAUGCGGGAUGGGCGAUUGUGUAGCAUUUGCUCAAAUCUAACAAGUAGGUCAACUGUAAACCUCGAAUCCUAUUGAACUUAGGUCUUCCCAAGAGUUAUGAAGGAUUAAUUUUAAGUGGAGUUAGGAUAAGGAAGUAAUCUUGUGAAGUGAUAUUUUUAAGUAUGUCGUAGAAGGGGGAAAGAAGAAAAAUUAAGAAGCAAUAAUUUUGAAAGAUAAAGAAAAGUUAAGUAGGAAAGAAGAGAAAAUUUGGCUAAGUAUGGGAGUUGGGUAUUUGGCUAUGGUUUAAUCUAAAAAGGUUAGUUUGGGCGAAUAGGGAGCUUGUUAGGCGACAAAGGAAGAGAAGAUAGCCUUUUAAGAGGUUAUCUUUGUGUUUUGAUGUGUGGCCAAGAAGGACAAAGUGAACCUUUAAGGGUUGACGUUUUGGUUGUAGCUAGACGAGAAGAAGGCUUGUUUAGAUGUUAGCUAGGCGUUUGGAGGUUUGCAGCAAGGCUAGAGAGAUUAGCUAGGAGUUAGGGCUCGGCGAAGAGCAUGGCAUGCAAGAAGGACAUGGAGGAUAACGACCAUGCAAUGAGAUGUUAGUUGUCAAUUUGGCUAGAUGUUUGACAUUUCCUUGACACUUUGGCAUUUUGAUUAGGCGAGAAGAGGAAGAGGUGGAGUCCAGGUGUCAUGUGCAUGCAUAGGUUAAAUUUUAGCUGAAGGAGGUGUCAAUAAAGUUUCAUGCAAUCUCUAGUAUAAAUAGGUUACUUCGGAUGUGCAUUUCUCUCAAACGAAUUGUGCAUUUGGAGUGAAAUUACACUUAAAAGAUUAUAAAUUGAGUUUAUUUUCUAUAUUGAGGCUUUUGGUUAAAUUUGAGUAUGAGAGGAUUGAGUUUAAGUUGAAUAAAGUGAGGAAGGUAAAAAUUCGGGUGAUUCUGAACAAGGUUGACUUCCAAAGGGCUAUAGAGAUCAUAUAUUGAAAUUCGAAGUUGAACUUUUGAGAUAAGAAUAUUAAGACAAUUUUCAACAACUUUAUAGAAUAAAAUAUUUUCAUUUGAGUUAUGGAUUUAUAGUUGUUAAGCUCUAAAGUGGAAAUAAGGUUUUGGCCAAAUUUGAGUUUUUGGGCAAUUGAGGUGAUUGGUCAAGAGACAAGGUAGGACUAGGCGAGCUGAGCAUGGCAUUUUGGAUCAGAGAGGUUAUUGGGCAAGAAGGUUGGUGUUAGAUGCACGACCUUUGUGCAAAUCCCGCGUGUGGCAAGAAGUCAUGGCAGGAGAGCUGCACACGACACCAAACAUGCGGCCAGGUGAGGCACAUGGUGUGUCUGUGCGCAGGCAUGCUCAGUGCGUGCAACAAACCUCUUGUGAGGUUAGCGCGGGCAGCCCAACGUGCGCGGCCAGGGCCCUGUCGCCCACCCGUGCGUGCCAGCCAUGUCAAAGUAAUGUUUUUUAUAUUUUAGGAAAUUUUUAAGUAAAGUUCUGAAGAAUUAAAAAGAAUUAUUUUUCAUUAUUUCAAGUUAAGAGGAGAUCAAACAAAUAUAUAAACCAAUAGUCUAAGCUACUAUCUAUGAGUAAUAAAAUGAAUUUAAAUUUGAUUUCUAAAUCUAAUUAUCUAUCAAAUGUUUUAAACAUGCUUUGAUGUAUGAAUUAUUUGAGUUUACUAUUUUAGCAAAAUGUUUCUAAAGCAUGAGAUUUAAAAUGUUUGAUAAGUAUUUAAGUAAAGAAUGCUUUUAGAACGUUUUAGACCAUACGGUACAAUGUAUAUAUAGGAACCCUUUGGGAGGAUAUGGCCUGUGCACAAAGGUUCCUAUGAUAGAGGUUAUCAGUAAAUACCCAUGUAUGCUAUCACAGUUGGGAUAGAUUUCUGAGAAGAGGGUGUUACAUUUCUUGAGAUAAAUGAUCUGUAGGUUACCUACCUCAUUGUAGCUAUAACAAGAUGAGUAUCGUCAGAGGGUCCACCUUGUAUUUCAUAUGAUAUAACGAGUAAAUUGACUUAACUAUGUUGAAGACGAAGUUUAAAACUAAAUUAUUUUUUAAAAAAAUAUAUGUUUUAAUAAAACCAUCACUCACUGGGCUAUUUUAGCUCACUCUUUCCAAAUGUUUUCCCCUCUUUCCAAGUAGAGGUCGUGAUCCACAAACCUAAUCAUUGUCUUCAAAGUCUGUCGUGAAAAGUUGUAAUUAGUUUAGUUACUAAGGGUCAGUUUUAUUUUAAACCUUAUCAUGUACAUGGUUUUGCAUAAGGUUAAGUGCAGUUGUUAAAUUUCUGUUUGGUCUGUAACUAUAGUUUGUACCUAGUGGCAUCUAGCCUCGAUUACUUGUUAAAAAGUAUAAGAAGUUGUUGAAGUUUGUUUCUCUUAAUUUUUGCUGCAUAAGUUUUAAAUUACUUAGGUUGUUUAGCAUUGUAAAAGAUCAGUAGUCAAGGUCAACUGAAUACUGUUCAAAGAGGGAGCAAUGUCAGUUGGCUUCACGCCACGUCUCGAAACGAACAAGUAGAUGUCUGAGGGGGGGGGGGGGGGGGUGACAUCAACCGUAUGGAAAUCGAAAGUUCAUGAGAAGAAUCAGUAUAGGAUGUAGCCUCCCUUACUAUUUUGAGAGCAAAUGGUUUUAUAAAACGUGGAGCUGAAAUAAAAGCUUGGUAACAUCCUUUGAAAAAAACAUUGAAAACUGUCAAUUACAAAGUCUAAAUACAAUUCCAUUAAUUUUUAAACAUUUUUUAUAUUUUAGGAUUUUUUUUUUUUUUUUUUUUUUUAGAAAUUGCAUUAGAUCACAAAAAUAUUUAAAAAAAAAACAGCUCAUAACACCUCAUUUUGCAUAUUGCAAAUUUGGCAAAUAUGAUGGUAAUCAAAAGGUAAUUUGGUGGUAAUUUACUUUUAAAUUUGUUGUUUUGAAAUUUUGAAAAUGUAAGUGACAUGAACUCUGCUAUCAUAAUUUUUUUUUCUAUUUUUGCAAACUCUCCAAAUUUUUUUUAAGGAUAAUAGAAAAUUUAUAUAUUUAUUUGACAUUUUAACAGUUUAUUAAAGGUUAAUUUUCAUAAAUAUAACAAAACACCAAAAUAUUUACAACAUGUGUAACAAAAUAAAAAAGUUUACACAUAAUAAAAAAGUUCAUUAAGCCAGUAGAAAUUUUUUAUAAAUUAUAUUCGAGAUUUGCUCUUGAUAUUGGAGACUAAUUUUCACUUCUCUUUCUUCUUCUUUGCCAUUUAUUUAUAUUCAAUUCGUGUUUAAGAUUUUUUUUCUUCUAUUUUUAUUCAUUUUUCUUUUCUUUUUCUUUCUUCAUCUUCUCUUUCUUUAUUGUAACUCAUCUUCCAAAAUACGAACAUUGUUUAAAUAUCACUUUGAUAUAUUUUAAACAAUCAUUGACCUACUCAACACGAUCGUUUAGAUUUGAAACAUUUUUUUACUUCGUUAAAAAUAAUUACAUGAUCGUGUAUCGCACUUGUGUGACCGCUUUAUCGUGUGCUAAUUAGCUAGGGUAAUUUUGAUAUUUUACAUUGUGGACUUGUGAACUUUUUUCAUUUUUAAAAUUAUUUCAUAGAAGGUAAAUAUUUUGUCAGUUUAUUAUAUAUUUUAAAAAAACCCACUUGUUAAGGCUUGAACUCAAACUUUUGAUAUUUUACUAGUCAUACACAAGAAAAAAAAUGGUCUAAUACAAUGAAUAAGAUUGUCUACGUUGGUGAGAAUGUUAAUGACAUAUUACAAAAUCUUAUAGCUGUCAAGAGAAAAAAGUAUAUGGAGUGAAAAGGUAGGAAGAAAAAACAAAUUUAUAAUAUUGUGUAUUUUUAUGAAAGAAAGAAAUUAAAUUCAUUGUCGGUAUGGCCAUAAAGUGAAUGGUCCUGCCUUCAUAAUGUCUUGACAAUCUCUCACAACUUUUCUUCUUAUAGAACCAAACUUUGUUCCUCAUUUCUGAAUUCUCAAAUCUUAUUAUUUACCACUCUUUGAUCAGCUCUCUGUCUUCUCUUUGGUGUCUCCUUUUGUUUUGGGAUCCAAUUUUCGAAUUCAAUGGACAUCUUCACCUCCAUAUCAUCUAAAACAUUGCCUUUUGAUACCCAUAUUGAUAGCAAUAAUAGUUUGGGAGUUUAUGGCGACACCUCCUUCUCGUCUUACUUAUCUGCGAAAGAAGACCAUGACUUCAUCCGCAAACUCGCUGAGUCAACUCGUUACCUAAAAAGCCCCAACAUGAUUCCUUGUAGCAGAGGCGGUGAAGAUGGAGAGAUUGGAAUAUUUGGAGCUGAAAAGUACUUCAAUGACGGAAUGGAAGAUGAGAGCACUCAAAGAUCAAGUAACAAUCAUCCAUCGUCUCAAAAGCUUGAUAAACUUAUUGUUGCUCAUAUGGAGGAAGCCUUGAAAUUGCCAAAGCCGAGGCUUGGAACUCCAAGUGUUGGAUCGGAAUCCAGUAGCGUCAACAGCCAAAGACCUUUGCUGAAGAUCGUUAAAAGCACAACAACAACAAGUGCAAUAGCAACAACAAUUGCCAGUAACAGUUAUUCGCUCCAGAAGAGGAGUAGUAACAACAACAAGAGCUUUCUAUCCAAUACACUUGGCUAUUGCAUGUGCUGUACAAGCAACAAAAAAAGUACUGCAGUUGAAGACGUGGGUGAAAUCAGUUUCAGCAAUGCAAUCACAACAAACCCAACACGAAAUAAUAUUAAUAAUAUAUUGGAUCGAGAAGCGCCUUCGUUUCGAGGCUUUCCAACUGCAGCAUCAUCACUGAAGAUGGUCCAUUUACAAGAACCUGAAGAAGUAGUUGAAAGAAAGUCGUUAGAGGUUUUCGGUUCGCCUAUGACGGGAAGGCUCAGAAACAAUAAACCAAUGAGCCUGGAAAAAAGGCUAACCAUGCUUUCUUGGGAUAAAACAAAUAACCACAGCACCACCUUAGGAUCAGGAAUGUUUUACAACGAGGACGAGGUGAAUAGCGAUUGUAGCUCCGACUUGUUUGAGAUUGAAAGCCUUACCAAGCAAACCAACCCAUUCCACUCUCCAACUGCCUCUUGUUAUGCGCCCAGUGAAGCUAGCGUUGACUGGAGCGUCGUCACUGCCAGUGCUCUAGACUUCGACGAACGGCGCCCCUCCACUACCAGUCCAGCCAGAGUGGUGCCACCACCACCAAUGAGGGUUAAUGUGCACAAAGAGGUUGUCGUUGUCCCGAAGAGGCGACCGAGUAGUAUUUUAGGGUGUAAAAGUGAGAAAGCAGUAAGAGUUGCUGAAGGUAAUAAUAAGUAUGAACGCAAAAUGGGUGGUAACAAGUCUAACAACUCUGAUUAUCUUCUCAUGGAACAACGUAACUCCGAGUCGUUGAUGGCAGUUAAAAGGUUUGAAGAUGAGACCAAAGUCGGAGGGUUCAGUUUCAAAUCGCAAGGGUCGUCGUCGAUGUUGCCUAUUCCCCUGCCUCUGCCACAUCAUGGUCUCGCCACACGCUCGCUUCCUCGCCCUUAUUCCCCAAGGCUUACCAAUAUAACCUUCAAUAUGCAGUGAGAUGAUUGCAUGUUAUCUUCAUAUUUCCAUAAGUACAUUAAACAUUUGAACUAUACUUAUUUACUCUACUCUACUAUAAAAUAGGAUAUUUUCCUAUUCACUGCUAUUCCAAAUUUGAAUAUACCUUUGGUACGAGUGAGGGGUAUGUAUACAUUAUUAUUCUAAACUCUCCUGACUUUAUUUCUAAUUUUUGGUUUUCUUAUAAUUCGUUAGUACUCUCCUUAUUUAGUUGAUGUGACGUUGUUCUUGCAUUUUGCACCGUCACAAUUCAUCUGUGUAAAUGAAUGCUUUUUUUUCAUUCAGCAGUAAAUUAGCAUAUGAAUGAUUAUUUAACAUAUAGGCAAAAUGUUAUAUAAAAAUGUAAUAUGAACUAUAUAUAAUAAUAACUAAACCAUCCUUUACUUAUUCCAAGUGUUUAAUUUAUGUACACUAUUCCUUCUCUUCUAACUCUUUUUCUUUGUUAUCUACCAGCUUCUACCAGUUGGCUUAAAAAAUCCACCCAAAAAAUUUAAAACAACUUUUAAAAUAUUAACUUAAAACAACUUUUAAAAUAUUGUUUUCUCUCCCCAUAAUUUGGCUAAGAAUUCAACUAUUGUAUUUAAGAAAGAUGGAGAAAAUAAGAUUAAUUUUAAAAAACAAAAUAGUUACUAAAUAUGAAAUAAUUAAGUUGAAUCAUGAAAAGAAUAUGUCCAUUUUAGGAAUAAUAAUUAAGAAUGUAGCAACAUUUUUAAAAAAUUAUAAAUAUAGCAAAACUAUGAGUGAUAGAUUUGUAUUGCUGAUAAACUCGAUAAUAAACCAAUAUUUGCAACAUGGUCUAUCGACUUCUAUUAUUCAUAGAAUUUGAUAAAUUUUGCUAUAUUUGCAAGUUUUUUAAAAUGUUGUUAUAUAUUUAAUUAUUUUAAAUCUAUCUACUAAAUUUACAAUUAUUCAUUAUAAUAAAAUAAAUUAAUUAAUAAAUUAAUUAAGAUAUAGUGUAAACCUAAGUGGCAAUACUUCUUCAUUGACAUAAGACAAAGAAAUUAAAAGCCUUUAUGAAAAACCCUUCAAAUAAAAAGUUCAAGUCAAUAUCGUUUCCUUUUAAUAGAUAUAGUAUUCAUUCUCUUGGCCAACUAAAUUAUGUUUCCAUUUUCUUAAUUUUUGUUUUACUCAAUGAUAUAGCAAAAAUUUGAAUGCAUUCAAGAUGCACCAAUUUAGGUGUCACCCAUCUUCCCGUCGCACAAAAAUAAUAAUUUUCAAUUUUAAUUUUGUGUGGGAGGGAUAGAGAGCACAUACAUAGGUGUGUUAACUAUGAUGAUAGUUAACCUGAUCAUAAUGUUCUUAUCAUAAUCUGUGGCUCUAAUUACAAACAUUAUACCUUUACAUUUUUUCAUAGUAUGUGCCUCUAGCUAGCUGCAAUUAUCAUUUGGGUGAUUUUCUUUUUAUGCUCAAUUCAUUUUAAUUUAUAUUUAUAUCCAAUAAUAAUCUCUGUAGAGGUCUGAGGUUAAUUUCUGGUUCCAUGUAGUUGCUAUAUUAAGAAAAAUCCAAUCAAUUGCACCUUUCUUUUCCUCCAACUUAUAUGGAAAAGACGAAACCUAAUAUUGAUUUUUGCUUUCCUUUAUUGUUUUUUAUCUUCAUCAAAGGUAUUAUUAUGUUUUGACAAAUAUUAGAAGAGUUGGUGGACUCUAUGCUCUAUAAAAGGAGUCUCACUUGUUUGCCAUUAGGAUUAGAGAGAAUUAUUGUGUAUUUUUUACUAGUGGCCGAUCUCUUUCUGGUGUGUGGUUUUUAUUUUUUAUAUUUGAAGCAUUCGACCUAAAUUCAUUGUGUUUCUUUUAAUUUGUCAAUUAUGUUUUUAGAUAUUCAUGUGAUGUUAGUGAGAGGUAGUUUCUCCAAACACAUGUGUGAAUGGAGAUUCAAAACUCGAACUGUUUUUUAUCAAGAGAUCAUAUAUUUAUAAACUUCUAAACCUUUGAAUCACAAGAAUAUAAUGUUUCAACCGAUUAGGUUGUCGGGUUUUGAAGAAUUUAUGAGAGUAUCUAUUAGAUAUAGUUAUAUAUAUGAAAGUUAGAUUUCAAGAAUAUGAGAGAUAGAGGUUGCUUGAAAACUCACUAUCAUAUAGGUGUAAAGGCAACAAUCAUAGUUAAUAUUGAUAAUAAAAGCAGCCUUUAUUUCUAGAUAGAACGAGUAUGAAUGUAUCAUUCAAUUGAAAAAUCAUUAAAACUUGGGAUGUUAACAACUCAUAUAUCUGUUAUAGCAGGAAGAAUGUUGGGUUUCCAAUAUCAAUUAUUCAACCUACCGUCCCUAACUCCGUGGCCCAUUUCAAAAUAUAUUCUAAAUUUCUAACAAAACCAUUAUUAUUAUUAUUUGCAUAUUUCAGUCUUCACUAAAUGCUAUUUAGUUUUUUCAUUUUGAACAAGAUACUAGUGGAAGGAAUCAGAAAUACACUAGCAGAACAUCUUGACUAUGUUGAUCAUACCUCCUUAAUAUAUCUUCAUCAUAUAUAUCUCGAUGUCAAGAGAGAUGCAUUCAUUCAACAGGUCGUAAAAGUACAAAAGACCUGGAGAAUAUAGCUCAAAACAGACAGAAUGCAGGUCAAUUAUAAAGAAACACAACCCACCUCAGAGCAAUUUUAGAAAUAUUGUAAUUACAAAACAACAAGAUUUUGUGCACCCAAGGACCGUCAAAGAAAUGAUAUCGUUCUACAUAAAUGACUUAUGUUUUUCAAAUGCCAUAGAAAGUUCUGAUAUUCCUUUUGAGCCAAGUGCACCAUAGAGUAUUGACAAUAAUAUUGGUGUUAAAUAUAGUCAAAGAAAACAAAAGAUUGGUGAAUAUUUGAAAUAAUAAGAAUAGAUUUAAUUGUGUAAAUUGAAUUUAUCGCAAUACAAGAAUUUGGACUCUGGCAACAUUUUUUUGGCCACGUAAAAAAAUAUGGGCAGAGAUAUGUUGUGUGCCACUUAUUUUUCACUUAAAUGUAAAAUUUUGUCUCCUUUGUUUCAUUAUAAUUAUUGUCUUGGUUUUAGUUGGAUUUUACAUUUCCAAAAGAACCAAAAUCCUUGAAGAUAAAAUUUUGUGAUGAGAUGGUGGAAAAAGCUUGAAUGUUGGAGAAGAAAUCUAGAAUGAUUUGUGAGGUUCAAAGGUUCAAUAUGUACAUAAUCAUGUCCUGAUAUGUUUGAGCAAGAAUGAGAAAAGUUCGUGGAAAAAAUCUAUUUAGUAUCUUAUAUUUGAGGAUCUAAAGUAUUGAGGUAGAAAUUGAUAUCAAAAGUUUAAUUUUAAUAGUAUAUCAAUAGAAACAUUUUAGGUUGGUUUUAAGUUUGAAAGUGAGUCGUCUUAUUAAAGUUAUUUUAAUAUUUAAAGUGUCACAUAUUUAGAGUUGUUAUCGUAGGUAAUUUGUUGUUAGUUUUGAGUUUAAAAGUCACACUUAGGCACUUCUUGGGCACUAAUUAAAUUGGUUUGAGAGCAAAAUGUUUGCGUUACACAUUUUAAAAUUAUCUUAAGAUUUGAUUCACACUUUUUAGAAACAUUGUAUGUCUUGAGUUUUCAAGUCACACUUAGAUAUCCGUAAGUUGUUUUGAGAGUUAAAUACACCUUUAAGGUGAUUUUUAGUUGGUAGUUUUAACUUGUCUUAAGAGUCAAAUUGGUACUUUGACACUUUUUUAGAGAUACUGUGUUCAGUUUUAAGUUUCGAAGGUGAGACAUUUGUAAACUAUUUUAAAGUAAAGAGACAUGUUCACACGAGAUUUCUGGAGAAAUUUAAUUUGUGGAGUUGAAUUUAGUGUUGAUGUUGUAUCUUUGUUGAUUUGAUGCGAUGCGGUUCAAUCUCUAGAAUUUGAUCCUCUGAUUCUCUCUCGACUGGAUGCUUACGCUUGAUUUGGAGAAAGCAGAGCACGUGAUAUUCUUGAAGUUUGUUGAACGUCUACGCUUGAUUUGGAGAAGCGGAACACGUGAUGUCCUUCAAAUUGGUUGAAUGCCUACGUUUGAUUUGAGGAAGCGGAGUACGUGAUGUUAUUGAAGUUGGAGUCUUGAAAGAAAGUUUGUAUCUUUGAAGGAGCUUCAAUCUUCGAGGAAAAUUGGAGUCUUGGAAGAAAUCUUGUAUCUUCAAAGAAGCUUCAAUAUUCGAGGAUGGUCGACUUCAGGACUUAGGAAGAAUUCUCUUUGGACUUUCUGAAGUCAAAAAUUUCCAACUCCUGCAAAUGAGUAGAAUUUCUCUAUUUAUAAAGUUCACUAGUGGACUUUAUGGACUUAAAACUGGUUGGUCCAUGGACUAGACCCAUGGGCUCAACCAUAUGGAUUUAACUUAUAUUUAGUUUUUAGGCUCAAUUAACCUUGUUUUUUGGUUUAAUUGAACUUAGUCCAAGUAAAUAAUAUUUAAUUGAACCAAAAGGAUUGACUUAAUCCAACGAUUAAGAUGAAAAUAUGUGUAAUGGUCAAUUUAUGUUUUUUCAAUUCUUUAAUUUGAGGCACAUGUCAAUUUUAAUUAGUCUCAAACUUAAUUAUUUGUACUUUUCAUCCUUAACUUAAUAAAUGAUGUGGCAAUUUGUGAUUGGUCUCAAAACUUCUUAUUCAACGAGUCCAUUUGAAAAAUUUUUAAUUUGAUUUUAAUUUCAAAAUUAAACUUGUAUUGAGAGUUAAAGUGUUACUUAGACAUUUUUUUGUAACGGAGCUUUGUUUUCUUUUAUAAUAAUGGUAAAUUGUUUACUUAAGUUAAGUUUAAUCUAACGUUUGUAUGUUAAAGUAAAGUAAACUUUAUCAAAAAGGAAAAUAAACUAUGUAUUAUGAGAAUGAAGAUUGGAGAUUAGAAUCGUCGAACACUGAAAAGGUCGUCGAACGUCGAAGCUUGAGAGUGUGGUGGAAGGGUCAUCGGACGUUGGGCGUGGUGGAUGGGCCAUCGGAUGUUGAGCGUUGUGGGUGGGGCGACCGUCUGAAGUUAUUAUGGAUGGAAAUUUUGGGGGAAAAUUUUUCGUGAAGACGCUAAGAGAUGGAUAUGGAAGAAAGGGUUAGGAAUUCUUGUUUUAUUUUUCAGGGGAGGAAUUAAGGCUUUUUAGAAAGGGGAAAAAGGAAUUUUGAGGGGAAAAAAAGAUGGAAAAUUUGUUUUAGAAAUUGAAAAAAACCGAAAUUUGAGAAUUAAAGAGUUAAAAAUGAAAAAAUAUAUAGUAUUUGACAUUUUAAAAUGUCAAGUAAAUAAAAUUAAUCUAGAAGAUUUUAAUCAGUCAAGUAUUUAAAAUGAAAAAUAAAAAAUUAUAUAUUUUUUCACAUUUGAUUAUUUUUAUAGGUUUUUUUUCUACUUGAUAGUUUUUAAUAGAACUAUCAAGAAUAUCAAAACUGUAGGCGUCAAGUAUUGAAUUGAUUCAAUUGUUUAAUUAAUGUAUAGCAUAUUUGUGCACUCUCUUGCUUUACUUAUAUUCGUCAUUGUUGGAUUUCAAAGCAGGUGUAGGAUAAAUUAUAUAGAUAAUUUAAAAUAUAUAAUUUUUCAUUUGAAAAUAAAAAAUAAAAAGAAAAAAGAAAAACUUCGACAUUCAAAGCGCGUCAAGAAUUCGUUUAUUCUUGACGCUUAAGCAGUGUAAAAAAAAACCUCUUAUUCUUAACACUGGAUUACUUGACACGUAAAAAAAAUGUAAUUUAAUCUCAUAUACUUGACACUUAUAAACUUACAAGUAUAACUUUACUUGACGCUUAAAAACUGUCAAGUAUACCUUUCUUUAUUCUUGACAUUGGAUUACUUGACGCAUUGAAAAGCGUCAAGUAAACAAAUACUUUAUAAGUAAAAAGUGUAAAAUAAACCUUUUUUUUUUUGUACUAAUGAAUAAUUUGUGUCCCAAAAGGAGAACCCAAAAGGAGAACAAGUGUGGUGUUUAGGCGUCGAAAGGUUCUUCACCUUAAAUAGAGAGUCAAUAUGAUGCUUAUAAGUAAAGGAACCGUUAAUCUAUCUUUUCCAUUUGUAUCCUGAAAGGAGAACAAGUACUUUGACCUCGUCAAUCCAAAUCUUCAUCACUUGUUAGCUCCAUGCUAUAAGAAUUAGCCUGAAAAAUUAAUAAAAUAAAGUUAAACUAGUAAAUGAAAACUCACCAAACAUUUAUUCUUUAGGAAUCCACGUGCCUUCACAAUCAGCUCAUACAUAUGUUGAAGUAUUCUCAUCUAAAUUAAGUGUAGAUUCAAUAUCUAACAAGCUUUAGGCAUUCUUUGACAAUGUAGAACCGUAUGUCUAAGUUCGUCAUUAUUGUAUUGAUCCUCGAAAUCUCUUUAUGGUGGAGUAUCACUUAGAUCCUCAACAAAAAAAAAAAAAAAAAAAAAAAAAAAAAAAAGUCUUAGGUAAGUCGCUAGUGUGAAAGAAUCGUUCUUCUGUCCUAUCCUAUUUAAGUCAACUAACACAAACUCAAGCUCGUCAGUUUUAAGAACACCAUUAUUUUUAACCCAAUCACAUUUUAAAAGGCAACCUUAAAAGUACUAUAGUUAAGUUCCCAAAUCACUUCUAUCACACUGUAAAAGGACAUUUCUCAAUUUAUAGGAUUUUUAUAUUUUAAGCUAGAUACUUGCAUUAUUCUUGCAACUAAACUAACCCCACUAUUCUAUAUAGUUUUAUUUUUGGCAUGCGUCUUUGUAUGGUAGUGACAUCCAUUAAUAGCAUAAUUGUUGUACAUAGUCACAAUUGGAUGAGGGUCAUGAGUAAUCCACCACAAGUUAUCUGAAACUUGAACAUCUCUUGUUGCAAGUUUCAUUCCAAUCCAAGUGACAAUGACUUAGACAAUUAAAAUAUAAGCAAGAAAGCAUUAUGUUAAAUAACCAAUUUCAUGUUUUGCUUGUUCUUGCAAACCAAGAUAUGAUUGUGUUCAUCUUGAAUCCAUUUCUGGAUUUUUUAUUCACUUAGGUGUUGCUGUUGCAAUGUGAACAUACGUUUUCUUGUGAAGAACAACAAGAUGUUGAAAUGUAAUUACUUUAAAUUUUAUGAAUUUCAAUUAAAAGAAUGGAUCGUAGACAUAAGAACUUACUCUAUAUGGUUGUAUUCUCCAAAAUAUAUCGAUGAGCUUGAUGUAAGAGUUCCCGUUUAGGUAUAUUAGAAACUCCACUUAACCAUGGUCUACCAAUUUCUAAAUUAUCAAAAUUAUAUCUUAACUUUUAACAACCAAGUCCAAUAGGAUCUACUCCACAUAAAAAUUUUGAACAAAAUUUAACAGCUUCUUCUAAUAUAUAAUAUUUACCAAUACAACCCCGAAUAAUGCCUAUUCCUCACAACAUCUUUUAUAAUCGUGAUAACAUUUCAAAUGGAUAUAUCCAUCGCAAAUAUAUGAGCGCAUAAAAUUAUAAUUCUCUAACAAUGUUGUAUAGUGUGAUUGUUAAGGGUAGAAUAAACCAAUAAUUUACACUUAAUUCUACCCUCAUACAUUUUUAUACUCAUUAUCUUCUUUUCUUUAUACAAAUUAUGAAAAUAGAUUCCAAUAUAAGAAUAAUUGUAAUGAAUAAAGUAAAGAAGAUGAGUAUUAUCAAUGAAUUUGAAUUUGAAUUUCAAAUGAAGAUGAGUGGCAAAAUUGUAAUGAAUUUGAAAGUUUAAGAAUUCUCGCACGCAAAAUCUCAACUUCGAAUUAAAUUCUGAAUGGUGUUUUCGUAAAUAUUACAAAGUAUUCAUGCACACGUCACUAUCCGCUCACGUUCAGCACUCCGAGGUCGUGGCUUCGAAUUCGUGGACUGUAAAACAUUAUUUGACGAAUUUCCUCAAUGGUAUUAUCGUAAAUAAACCGUUUAUUGAGCCCAAAUGUCAUGAUUUUUCGUCUUCAAGGUUGCAGUUUCGAACCCCUGCAACAAUUAUUUCAUAUUUUUUUCUUUAAAUAUCCUAUUUUCUCCAAUUUCAUGAUAUCACUUCAUUUUUUCACUUUUAACUCUUCUCUAAAUUUAGACAUAAAAAUCUGAUCAUUCUUCCCAGCCUUCUGCCAUUUUUGUGAGGUAAAGAGCAUUGGGAUUUGCUUAUCUUUUGAGUGUCAACGUUGUUGUAGAAUUCCUUUAAUUUGUUUCAAUUACGUUAUUUCAAUUUUUCUGUAUCUUGUUUCUAAAUUAAUUCUUUAAGUUUGUAUUUUGAACUCUUCAACCAUCUUAGUGCUUUUUGCAUGCAAUAUACAUUUCUCUUCAGAAAUUAAUGUUAAGUUUUGUUGAAAUGUUUUCACAAUUUUUAUUACGAUUUUCAUAACAAUUCUUGAUCAAAGUGCGAUGAUUUGAGUUCUUGUUAGGGUUGCUUCAUAUUCUGCAUAAUUGAAAUUGAUCACACUGCAAUAAUUGUUAGGAAAUCUUAGUCUUCCUAAGUAGAAAAUCGUUAAGAAAUAUAUCAAAAUAUGUCGAGAAAGGACUUCCAACGCAUAAACGCGGGUCAAAAUGGGGUCAGGUAGAGUGCAUCAGAAGAGCCCUUCCUGAUACCAAAGAAAUACUGUGUUGGGAGUUGUCAAGAUCUCCCGAUUCAAUAUUUGUGCAUCAAAGUUCUACUACUAUUUUUAAAAAAUAAUACCUUCCAUUAUUACUCUCCACCCAAUCCCUUCCAUAUCUCUAGGCCAGUGAUCUCAUAGUCGAUCGGAUAAAAAAUGGAAAUUAUAACAAAUGAAUACAAUUAAGGGAAUAUCAAACUAUUGGGAAAAGACAUCUUAAUAAAUAAAUAGCAUUACUGAAGUAAAGGAACGAUAUAGAGAAUGGACAAACUUCCAAUUGAUGAAGCUUGGCAACAACAACAGACCACAAGCAAAAAAAUUAUAGACGAUCAAACAUAGGCUAGUAAGUAACUAGUGAUCUGGACGGUACAACUAUGAUGUGCAAUAGAAAGUGUAAGAGAAUUAUUGUAUGAAAUUGUUCUAAUCUCACAUUCACAUUUUAGUAGAGUUAGAGCAAUUUCAUUCAAUCUUAUAUUUAACCAACGUAUAUAAGUUUAAGAUGAAGUCAACAAUAAUUAAAAAAAAAAACAAAGUUAAUGAGGAGGUACGAGCAUACUUGAUGUUUGUUAUUCUAUAUAAAACUCUCACUCAAAUGUAUUGUUUGUUGGACGGGAUUGUUUUGAAAUUGGAUUGUGUUUAAUGGAAUUUAAGAUGGAAUAAGUUGUGUCAUCUUGAGUCAAGGCACAUAGACUUAUUUAGCCAUACCAAAAUUGUACGGCCUUGCUAUAGUUUGCAUGUUAGGUUUGUGGUGUACCAUUGGCUGGGGGUUAAUAUGACGUGUCAUUGAAUACAGAUCAUUGCAUGCAAAAUUUUCUCCAUUAUUCUCUUCGUCAUGCAAGUGGACAUGAUCAUUGUAGGCAAAAUGCUCUCAAUGUCCCCACCAUCUGUUCCAAGUCCUUGUUGUACAAGUUUUCCUAUUGUUUGCCCAAGUGUAAGCAAAACAAUAGGUUUUCUCGAAUGAACCAAUGUCAAACAUAAGGAAUUGAUAUCAAAGACUUGUUCUAGGAUCUCUACUCAUCAAUUAGGUGCACUACAAGAAAUGGGGCAUUUCCCGACGCAUAAAUAUGUGUCGGGGCAAGUGUGUCGUGAGAGGAAUUUCCGACACACAACAAGUUGUGCAUCAAAAAUUCCUAAACAUCUCCUGACGUUGUAUGAACGUCGAAGGAUGCUGUCAAUAUGGCAUCGGGAGAUGUCACAGAACUUCUGACGCGUAUGUUAGGAACUCCCGACGCACCAUGGUGCAUCGGGAGUUUCCAUAUUUUUUUGUAAAAAAAAAUACCUUCCAUUAAUUCCUAAAUUCAAACUCAUCUUCAAUCUCAAUUUCAACACUUCAAUCUAAACUUCAAAACUUCAAUCUCAACAUUCAACACUUCAAUCUCAACUUCAACACUUCAAUUCAAAUUUCUAAAACCUACAACUAAUUCAAAAUCAUAACAACACUUCAAAUUCAAUUUCAAUACUAAAACCUACAACUAAUUCAAAAUCUAAAUACUAAAACUAAUUUGAAACCUAAAAUCUAAAGCCUAAAACUAAUUUGAAAUCUAAAUACUAAAACUAAUUAACUAAAACAAAACAAUAACUGAACUAAACCACUUACCGACGACGACGACAACGACAACGGAGACGACAAUGACGACAGCAACGGUAACGGGAACGACAAUGACGAUGAAUGCCUCUUCUUCUUGAUCUCCCUCUCGGUCUCCCUUUCCCUCUCUCGGUUUUCUUUCUCUUUUAUGUUUCCAUUCUGUAAAGAAUGGAGUUAAAAAGACGGAGAACUCCCGACACACAACGAAAACGUCGGGAAUAGAGCCCUAUUUCUGACGAGAUCAGUGACACGUCGGGAAUCCCUAAACCUAUUUAUGAUGUUGCUGGCACCAUGUCGGAGGAAGGCGUAACGUGCAAUUAAUGAUCUGCCCUUCCUCCAACGCAACACUAUAGACGUCGGGAAUAGGUGCGCAUUAUGAUAGGUUUUCUCAAUGAUAAUAAUAAUAAAUAAAUAAAUUGACUUUUUAAUCUCAUUAUAAUUUUCAUUAGCUUACUGAGAUUUACAUAUAUAUUACCCCAACAUAGAUUUUCGAAUCUAGAAGCAGAACAUUAUGUUUAGUUAAGCAUUGGACACAAAUGAGUUAAGUAGUUGCAAUGCUGAAAUUAAAUUAGUUCAUUUUCUACUUUCUAUGGUUAUAAUUUGAAGAAUGAAAGACAUUUAUCCUUUCUUGAACUUGAAUAAUAUAAUUUUAAGAAUCGAUUUGAUUUGGUUUUGAUUUCAACCCUUAUGCAAAUAGUUAUGUUUACGUGUUUAUAUUAAGGUUCUUAUUGAUAUACAACGUCAACGUAGAGCUAUGUUUAAUUUUGGAUUAAAUUUUAAUGUAGAGCUUAUUUACUCAAAUAAAGUUAAUUAAAUAUUUAGUAUCAUUCAAACUUUUUAAAUUUGAAUUUUGUAGAUACAUUGAGGUUUGUGUACAAGCAGAAAAUUUUAAUUUUGUGAGUGUUUUUAUAGUUAAUUAGAAAUAGUUUUAGUUUUUUAUUUUUCAUUUUUGCUAAAAUUUUGAGAAAUUUUGUUGUAGGAUUUUGCUUAAAAAUUUAUAUUGCAAAAUUGACGAUGGGGCUUGAAGAAGUACUUUACGCUUGAAAAACAAUUAAGCUAGAGUUUUAUAUAUAUAUUGUAGCUAGUAAUUUUGUUUAUCAUCACAUUUUGUGGAGAGACGUGAAUUGGUUUGUUAUAUUGUAGAAAGUUGAGUUGUUUAUAUAAAUAUCAUAUAUUGUAUAGAAGUAUUAAAAUUGAGUUGUGGUUUUUAAUUUCGUCACCAAUAUUCAAAAUGGUUUGGACAUUUUAAUACAUGCAGUAUAAAAAAAUUCGUACAAUUAUUGAAAAAUUGGAUAAAAAAAAAAAGCAGCAGCAUAGAAGAUGGCGUACAACAACUGACAUGGAAGUGUACAAUGUUUGAUAGAAACAACAUUGAUUAUGAUUGGAAAAUAAUUUCUUUAAUGUAUAAUAUCGUUUAUAAGCCGAAAUUAUAGAUGACCGACAUUAUAGACGUUUUAUAACAUGUUUUUCGAUGUUGGUUUACAUUAAACAUAUAAAAUAUCAGUUUCAAACUGACAUAAAGGACUAGUUCUAACCAAACUGACAUAAAAGGUUAGUUCUAUAAGAGUGGUUUUAAAAUUUGACCUUACACAACCAUCAAAAUGAAAUUAACACUGCAUAUUUUCUAGGAAAUUUAAUUUGCGUAAAUGAGAGAUAUCUUCUGACUAGUAUAUACACGUGUGUAUAAUAAAAAUAGUUCUCACUUCAGUUUUUUUGAGUAACUCACUAAAGAAGUGAAGGACUUACUAAAUGUGGACCUUAUAGCUAAAGUUGUUGAGUUUGAAGUUCAACAUAAAUGCAACAUAAAGCAGAAGUCAAAAUCUCAAGGAAAUGCAUCGCUAGAAGACAAAGUCACAAUCAAAAAGGCUAAAAAAAAUAGACAUUUCGAAGUUAUGACUACCAUGAUUGUAGUUGUAUAUCACAAAGUGACAACUUGUUUUUUCUUUUAAACCGUGGGUAUUGUUAUCAAAUUAUCUUAAGUUGUGCAUGUAUUCCUAUCUUUCAUUUGGUAAUUAAGAAUAAUAAUUAAAUGUAUAACAACAUUUUAAAUAUAUACUGUCCUAUUUUAUUAACCUUACUAUGGAUUAAUAGUAGAAAUUACCAUUAGUAGGAUUUUUAUAAAUCUCUCUUUUUGGGUUAAAGCGAAAUGUUUACCUAAUUACAAAUAGCUAUUUUUUCCAAACUAUAAUUCAAUCGGCUGACUAGCUUGAUGCAUUCUUCGAACUGCCCCAUUAUUUUACUAUACUAAUUAGGUGGAUGGUCAUUUUAGAAAGUCAAAUCAAAUGGAGGGCAAUAUAGUAAACAGCCUAAGUUUAUUAUGAUGUUUUCUUAUAACCAUAUGACAUUUAUGAAAAAUAGUAGAGAAAUUGGAUAAGAUUUGAAAAAGACUCCAUAAUUAAGUCUAUUUAGGUAUUAAGACCUUUUCAAAACGGUUGGCCUACAAACCAAAUUUCAACUACAAUAAUGCUUAGCCAUAUUGGCGGUUUUCGAUAACAUCAAACUUGCCCAAUAAUAAAUAAGCCUUAAACUCAUCAUGAGCUCCAUAAUUGACGUAGACUCAAUUACGGAAGAUAUAGGCAUUAAAUAAAUUAGUAACAUAAUAAAAUUACACAACCCG